UAAAAUAUAGUACACAUCAUUUUUAUAGUGUCAGACUACAGAGGGGUACUCUAAAGUGGUUAGCUGAGCAAGCCAUGAGGAGGAAGAGGAGUCAAAAGUGUUCUGUUCUGAACAUGAUGUGGAUAGUGAUGCAUUUAUGCAUCUGUUACUUGCUAUUGCUGAACAUUCUUGCCUUCUUUUUAUAAAAAAGUUGGGGGGGAAUAAAUACAGGCUGUGUGGU
Molecule: small nucleolar RNA, 220 nt
Organism: Rhineura floridana
Lineage: Eukaryota; Metazoa; Chordata; Lepidosauria; Squamata; Rhineuridae
Product: small nucleolar RNA U3
Exons: 1
Source: RefSeq, a predicted model, not a curated record